UACGAAGGGUGCAAACGUUGCUCGGAAUUAUUGGGCGUAAAGCGCACGUAGGCGGCUUGGCAAGUUGGAUGUGAAAUCCCUCGGCUUAACCAAGGAAGUGCAUCCAAAACUGCCGAGCUUGAGUACUUAAGAGGAUCGCGGAAUUCCCGGUGUAGAGGUGAAAUUCGUAGAUAUCGGGAGGAACACCAGUGGCGAAGGCGGCGAUCUGGGAAGAUACUGACGCUGAGGUGCGAAAGCGUGGGGAGCAAACAGG
RNAcentral lists this ribosomal RNA (253 nucleotides) under uncultured bacterium. RNAcentral's name for it is "partial 16S ribosomal RNA". It matches the Rfam family "Bacterial small subunit ribosomal RNA", at positions 524 to 776 of the family's 1533-position model. The record is from RNAcentral.